UACGUAGGGUGCAAGCGUUGUCCGGAAUUAUUGGGCGUAAAGAGCUCGUAGGCGGUUUGUCGCGUCGAAUGUGAAAACCCGGGGCUCAACCCCGGGCCUGCAUUCGAUACGGGCAGACUAGAGUUCGGUAGGGGAGUCUGGAAUUCCUGGUGUAGCGGUGAAAUGCGUAGAUAUCUGGAGGAAUACCGGUGGCGAAGGCGGCAUCCUGGACCGGCAUUGACGCUGAGGAGCGAAAGCCAGGGGAGCAAACGGG
This 253-nucleotide ribosomal RNA is filed under the name uncultured bacterium. RNAcentral's name for it is "partial 16S ribosomal RNA". It matches the Rfam family "Bacterial small subunit ribosomal RNA", at positions 524 to 776 of the family's 1533-position model. The record is from RNAcentral.